Molecule: long non-coding RNA, 341 nt
Filed under: Mus spretus (western wild mouse)
Lineage: Eukaryota; Metazoa; Chordata; Mammalia; Rodentia; Muridae
Description: lncRNA (ENSMSPG00010023634.1)
Source: RNAcentral
GGAAAGAGCAAGUGUGAUCAUCGGGAGGACGGACUGGGACUGCGGGGUUGCUCUUCACUCAGGAAUACAGAGGCCAUCAUGCUGGUAAGAGACAUUUAAGUUUUGGGGGCUUUUGAGCAGCAGAGGUGGGAGAACACAUUGGUUCAUUUGCUUAUUCUGAGCCGUUUGUUUAAGCACUCCAGUAGUCUCACUUUUAACCUGCUGAAACACUCCAGUCAUGACCAAACUAACUAUUGAAGUGCCAGCCAGUGUUGUUGAAGGGCACAACAUUCUUCUACAUGUUCACAAUAAAUCACAGAAUUGGCAAGUCUUUUCCCAGUACAAAUGUUUUGAUUCCAAAG